This 839-nucleotide ribosomal RNA is filed under the name Candida albicans. Its description in RNAcentral is "LSU rRNA". It matches the Rfam family "Eukaryotic large subunit ribosomal RNA", at positions 76 to 933 of the family's 3401-position model. The record is from RNAcentral. Lineage: Eukaryota; Fungi; Ascomycota; Pichiomycetes; Serinales; Debaryomycetaceae.
UGCCUCAGUAGCGGCGAGUGAAGCGGCAAAAGCUCAAAUUUGAAAUCUGGCGUCUUUGGCGUCCGAGUUGUAAUUUGAAGAAGGUAUCUUUGGGCCCGGCUCUUGUCUAUGUUCCUUGGAACAGGACGUCACAGAGGGUGAGAAUCCCGUGCGAUGAGAUGACCCGGGUCUGUGUAAAGUUCCUUCGACGAGUCGAGUUGUUUGGGAAUGCAGCUCUAAGUGGGUGGUAAAUUCCAUCUAAAGCUAAAUAUUGGCGAGAGACCGAUAGCGAACAAGUACAGUGAUGGAAAGAUGAAAAGAACUUUGAAAAGAGAGUGAAAAAGUACGUGAAAUUGUUGAAAGGGAAGGGCUUGAGAUCAGACUUGGUAUUUUGCAUGCUGCUCUCUCGGGGGCGGCCGCUGCGGUUUACCGGGCCAGCAUCGGUUUGGAGCGGCAGGAUAAUGGCGGAGGAAUGUGGCACGGCUUCUGCUGUGUGUUAUAGCCUCUGACGAUGCUGCCAGCCUAGACCGAGGACUGCGGUUUUUAACCUAGGAUGUUGGCAUAAUGAUCUUAAGUCGCCCGUCUUGAAACACGGACCAAGGAGUCUAACGUCUAUGCGAGUGUUUGGGUGUAAAACCCGUACGCGUAAUGAAAGUGAACGAAGGUGGGGGCCCAUUAGGGUGCACCAUCGACCGAUCCUGAUGUGUUCGGAUGGAUUUGAGUAAGAGCAUAGCUGUUGGGACCCGAAAGAUGGUGAACUAUGCCUGAAUAGGGUGAAGCCAGAGGAAACUCUGGUGGAGGCUCGUAGCGGUUCUGACGUGCAAAUCGAUCGUCGAAUUUGGGUAUAGGGCGAAAGACUA